This 253-nucleotide ribosomal RNA is filed under the name uncultured bacterium. Its description in RNAcentral is "partial 16S ribosomal RNA". It matches the Rfam family "Bacterial small subunit ribosomal RNA", at positions 524 to 776 of the family's 1533-position model. The record is from RNAcentral.
UACGUAGGAUGCAAGCGUUGUCCGGAAUUAUUGGGCGUAAAGAGCGCGCAGGCGGUUUUACAAGUCAGAUGUGAAAGAGGCCGGCUUAACCGGCAAGGGUCAUUUGAAACUGUAAGACUAGAGUACAGCAGAGGAUAGCGGAAUUCCCGGUGUAGUGGUGAAAUGCGUAGAUAUCGGGAGGAACACCAGUGGCGAAGGCGGCGACCUGGGCCAAUACUGACACUGAGGUGCGAAAGCGUGGGGAGCAAACAGG